Molecule: long non-coding RNA, 3271 nt
Filed under: Sus scrofa (pig)
Lineage: Eukaryota; Metazoa; Chordata; Mammalia; Artiodactyla; Suidae
Description: lncRNA (ENSSSCG00035026342.1)
Source: RNAcentral
GGGGCGCUCUGGGCUGGCGGCAGAAGCGGCAGCGGCUGGGUAGGGCAGGGCAGGGUAACGCGGCCGGAGCGAGGGCGGGAGCCGGGCCGGAGCCGGAGUCGGAGCCGGGGCAGGAGUCACCGUCGCGGCUGGAGCGGAGUGAGCGGCGUGUUGAGAGGCGAGCGGCGGCCGAGGAAACAUUGUACCGUUGGUGAAGCCAGCUCAGGAGGCGGCGCGCCCCCCUCUGGAGGACGAGGUUUGUCUACGGAUUUUGAGCAUCUGAAGCUGCCCUGCGAAUCUAAGCACCGCCCGCUGCGCCCUCGCCCUUUGAAGCGAUGUCUGUGGCUUACGAUGAUUCCGUUGGAGUAGAGGUGUCCAGUGACAGCUUCUGGGAGGUCGGGAACUACAAGAGGACCGUCAAGCGGAUCGAUGACGGCCACCGCCUGUGCAGCGACCUCAUGAACUGCCUGCACGAGCGGGCGCGCAUCGAGAAGGCGUACGCGCAGCAGCUCACCGAGUGGGCCCGGCGCUGGAGGCAGCUUGUGGACAAGGGGCCUCAGUACGGGACGGUGGAGAAGGCCUGGGUGGCCGUCAUGUCCGAGGCGGAGAAGGUGAGCGAGCUGCACCUGGAGGUGAAGGCCUCGCUGAUGAACGAGGAUUUCGAGAAGAUCAAGAACUGGCAGAAGGAGGCCUUUCACAAGCAGAUGAUGGGAGGCUUUAAGGAGACCAAAGAAGCCGAAGAUGGCUUUCGGAAGGCGCAGAAGCCCUGGGCCAAGAAGCUGAAAGAGGUAGAAGCAGCCAAGAAAGCCUACCACGCAGCGUGCAAAGAGGAGAAGCUGGCAAUAUCUCGAGAAACCAAUAGCAAAGCGGAUCCAUCCCUCAACCCCGAACAGCUGAAGAAAUUGCAAGACAAAGUAGAAAAAUGCAAGCAAGACGUCCUUAAGACCAAAGAGAAGUACGAGAAGUCUCUGAAGGAGCUGAGCCAGGGCACACCGCAGUACAUGGAGAGCAUGGAGCAGGUGUUUGAGCAGUGCCAGCAGUUCGAGGAGAAGCGCCUGCACUUCUUCCGGGAAGUCCUGCUGGAGGUUCAGAAGCACCUAGACCUGUCAAAUGUGGCCGCCUACAAAAACAUUUACCAUGACCUGGAGCAGAGCAUCAAAGCUGCCGACGCGGUGGAGGACCUGAGGUGGUUCAGAGCCAACCAUGGGCCAGGCAUGUCCAUGAACUGGCCGCAGUUCGAGGAGUGGUCCGCAGACCUUAACCGAACUCUCAGCCGGAGAGAGAAGAAGAAGACCGCCGAUGGUGUCACGCUGACCGGCAUCAACCAGACGGGCGACCAGGCUCUGCAGAACAAGCCCAGCAGUGUGAGCAGCUACGAGAAGACCCAGAGCUACCCCACGGACUGGUCAGACGAUGAGUCCAACAACCCGUUCUCCUCCACCGACGCCAAUGGGGACUCAAAUCCGUUUGACGAGGACGCCACCUCGGGGACAGAAGUGCGGGUCCGGGCCCUUUACGACUACGAAGGGCAGGAGCACGAUGAGCUGAGCUUCAAGGCCGGGGACGAGCUGACCAAGAUAGAGGACGAGGAUGAGCAGGGCUGGUGCAAGGGGCGCUUGGACAACGGGCAGGUUGGCCUGUACCCAGCGAAUUACGUCGAGGCCAUCCCGUGACAGGCCAGUGGGCUGGCUGGCAGAGGGAUGGAGGCGGAGGUCCCAGGAGCUCUGUUAGCCAUAGGCCCCGGGCAGCGGCGCCUCCGGCCAGCCGUGGGGGCAUCCACUCCUUUUCCUGCAAAAGAUGAUGGUUCCAUUGCUCUUGGCUCCAUAGUGUCUCUUGAAGGCAGACGAGCGGGUCCUUUCAGCUGGGACUCGGUGCAGAUGGAGAGAUCUGAGCACAGGAAGAAAGACAGCACAGCAGACAUGGCUGGGCCCCUCCCUGCCCCCGCUCCCCCGCGCCGUGUGCUGGCUUAUCAUGGAUCUGUAUGUUCUUGGCCUUGUCCUUCCACCUCUCUUCCCAGCCAGCGGCGGGCUACACUGAUUCUGGUUCCACCAGUUACUUUCUCUGACAAGUCCCAUCACCUGCAACUUAAAUGAACAAACUUACAUGCCGUUUUCUGAAUGAAGACUUGGAGGUUUUUAAUUUAAAGGCUGUGUACAGUUAUAGUUUUUUAUGUACCUGUUCUUCCAUUCAUUUAUCCUUAAAUUAUGGCACAGAUCGAUGUACACGAGUCUUGAGGAAACAGCUCUAUUUCCAUGCUGUACUGUCAACCAGCCGUGCCACUGCCUGGGGCGAGCUGCAAGAGCUGGGAGCUCGCUCGGACAGACGAUGUUUAGGCCAGAGAGUGCACGGGAAGGCCGGAACACAUGGCUGGGUUUCUGUUGCGAUGCUCUCCGCAUGUGGGGGGUCCAAAUGGCAUUUCCGGAAGUAACUUACGUAGUGCUCGCUAAAGUCGCCGUAUUUAAAAACUAUUUUCACUCUUACUUGUGCUUAAUACUUUACUCUUACAAAUUAACGAUUUCAUCAGUGAUUUGAAAGGUUAAAAAUAAAAAAUAAGAAGACUAACUUUGCAAGCAAAUGCAUCUGUAGUUGAGAUGCUUUGUACCAGGCUCUCGUGUCUUGGUGUAUAUCUGUACAUGUUAUUUGAUAUUCAGAGAAUCUAAAGAGCUCGUCUACUGUGUUAAUGAGAUUUAACAGCUUUUGACAGUGGGUUUAAUUUGUAAACUGCUUGAAGACCGUGCGUUCAGGCCCAGGCGCUCGGGCUCCAGGCCUCGGAAGCGGAGCCCGCUGUGGGGAGACCUGUCCUCACUGCCCAGCUGCGGGCCAGCUUCCAAUAACCGCCUUAGUCCUCUCCGCGGCGAACACUGUACAAGCUCCUGAGUCCUUGCAGCAGCUGCAGAUCUCAUAGUCGCCCGUAUCCCUCUCGAGCAGACAAAAGCUGGGUCUCACCCCCCAGCACAAGGGUCUCCUCCAAGUGUCCGCAGCCAUCAGGGAGCAGGAAGCUACACUGUAAUCACAGGCCAGGGAGGGAGGGGAAAAUCUUUAUUUUGUGCUACUUGGACAUUGAGAAAUGGCUGCCGCCAUCACAAGCUAUGCAUUUUGUUCAGUGUUUCCAGGGAGCUUGAUGUCUUACUUGGAAAGUGGAUGUGUGUGUGUCUGUCAUGAAAACUUACCAGCAGAAAUCCUCAUUCCUUUGCUACAGAUUUACCAAAAAAUUGUCAAGUCUUUGCAGUGUAGGAGUUUCUUUAAAAUGUAGAGUAUUUUAGAAAAAAACGUCAAUAAACAGUUGAUCUCA